This 240-nucleotide ribosomal RNA is filed under the name uncultured bacterium. RNAcentral describes it as "partial 16S ribosomal RNA". It matches the Rfam family "Bacterial small subunit ribosomal RNA", at positions 15 to 244 of the family's 1533-position model. The record is from RNAcentral.
GAUCCUGGCUUAGGAUGAACGCUAGCUACAGGCUUAACACAUGCAAGUCGAGGGGAAACGACAUCGAAAGCUUGCUUCCGAUGGGCGUCGACCGGCGCACGGGUGAGUAACGCGUAUCCAACCUGCCCACCACUUGGGGAUAACCUUGCGAAAGUAAGACUAAUACCCAAUGAUAUCUCUAGAAGACAUCUGAAAGAGAUUAAAGAUUUAUCGGUGAUGGAUGGGGGUGCGUCUGAUUAG